RNAcentral lists this small RNA (798 nucleotides) under Pongo abelii (Sumatran orangutan). RNAcentral's name for it is "processed transcript". The record is from RNAcentral. Lineage: Eukaryota; Metazoa; Chordata; Mammalia; Primates; Hominidae.
GGACCGACUGACGGUAAGGACGGGAGGCGAGCAAGAUGGCGCAGACGCAGGGCACCCGGAGGAAAGUCUGUUACUACUACGACGGGGAUGUUGGAAAUUACUAUUAUGGACAAGGCCACCCAAUGAAGCCUCACCGAAUCCGCAUGACUCAUAAUUUGCUGCUCAACUAUGGUCUCUACCGAAAAAUGGAAAUCUAUCGCCCUCACAAAGCCAAUGCUGAGGAGAUGACCAAGUACCACAGUGAUGACUACAUUAAAUUCUUGCGCUCCAUCCGUCCAGAUAACAUGUCGGAGUACAGCAAGCAGAUGCAGAGAUUCAACGUUGGUGAGGACUGUCCAGUAUUCGAUGGCCUGUUUGAGUUCUGUCAGUUGUCUACUGGUGGUUCUGUGGCAAGUGCUGUGAAACUUAAUAAGCAGCAGACGGACAUCGCUGUGAAUUGGGCUGGGGGCCUGCACCAUGCAAAGAAGUCCGAGGCAUCUGGCUUCUGUUACGUCAAUGAUAUCGUCUUGGCCAUCCUGGAACUGCUAAACCAGUUUCCACGUCUCUGGUGCUUAGAGAUACCUGAGGGAGGCAGCCAGCCCGGUAAGCUGGGAGCUGGCGCCCUUGGCGCGUCCCAUCCCCAAAGAGCUCCCAGACCCCUGACCCCCUUCUGAUCCUAGGUAUCACCAGAGGGUGCUGUAUAUUGACAUUGAUAUUCACCAUGGUGACGGCGUGGAAGAGGCCUUCUAUACCACGGACCGGGUCAUGACUGUGUCCUUUCAUAAGUAUGGAGAGUACUUCCCAGGAACUGGGGACCUA